Molecule: long non-coding RNA, 3460 nt
Organism: Oncorhynchus nerka (sockeye salmon)
Lineage: Eukaryota; Metazoa; Chordata; Actinopteri; Salmoniformes; Salmonidae
Exons: 3
Source: RefSeq, a predicted model, not a curated record
UUGGUCGACUAUGUUCGGUUACAUUUGGCUAUUGUUGACAUAUUGAGCAUCACAUGUGAUGUGUGAAGAGACUGAAAAUACAAGUGACAGAACCUGCCAGCUCUGCAAAAUGUCAGGUAAACAACACUUUCCUGUGGAUAUCUCCACCUCCUACCACCAAAAGUACAAACAGCAUGUACAACUGGUAAAGUAAGUUUAAAUAUCAUUUUAUUCAACAUUCUGGCUUGUAGACUGAAAAUCCAUGGUACUGUAACAGUAUGAUGUUCAGGCAACAAAUAACUCAAAUUCGGUUGUUUUUAAAACAGCAUAUUUUCUUGCAUGAGUCUAUCUCAGUAUAUAAUUGUGUGCAUGUGUAUGUGUGUAUGUGUAACAUAGUUGUGUAUGAAUGUCAUCUUGUGUGUGUGUAUGUCAGCAUGUGUGUGUCUCAUGGCUCAUAACAUCUUGUGAGUGUGUCAGCUCAUAUCGGACAGCUGCUGUUUCAGCAGGCUCGAUUAGCAUUGCACCGGUGUGUGUGUGUGUGUGAAAAUUCUUGGGUCUCUAAUAUCGGGACAGACUGCUUCUCCGGAGGCACAGAAAGUAGAAAAAUUAGCCCCAGAAACCACCCUCUCAUUCCCAAGCGAUGCAUUAUACACAUGAUACUCAGCUUGUAGUAAUGAGCCUGAUCACGAGAUACACAGGCUGUGUCUCACGACUAGGGUUGCAAAGGGAGGUUGUGUAUUACUGGAAACCAGUAAACUACCAGAAUUUUGGUAACUUUCAAGAUUUAUUUGGAAUUUUAUAAAACGACAUCUAGUGGCCUUUUAGUGUACUUCAGAUUAUCACAGGUUUCUGUCAUUAUCUCUAGCGCUGUUUGGCCUUAUCAUGUGAAAUUCAUUCAAUUAUUAAAUAAGAUGAUUUUAAAAUAAAAAUAGAAUGCCAAAGCUGUAAAAUUACCAUUGGUGUUCAGUAUGAGGGUUAUCUGCAUGAAAUAUCCUUCAAAAAAACGUUUUGUCAAUGUUUUGCUUCAAACUGGUGAGAAAAAAAUACAUUUCAGUUCACUCCACCUCUCUAUCCAACUCUCUGCUCUCAGCUCCUUCUCUCUGACUGUUUCAUCAGGCAACAAAGACUUCCUACAGUAAGCCUGAACAACGCUACGCUCUGCACAGCUUCAACGCUUCAAAACACUACACAUACACACACACAUGGACCUGCACACGCACACGCACACACACACACGCACACGCACACGCACACGCGCACACGCACACACACACACGCACACACACACACACACAUGGACCUGCACACGCACACACACACACACACACACGCACACGCACACACACACAUGGACCUGCACACGCACACACACACACACACACACUUUCAAACACACACACAUUCAAACACACACACACACUCAAACACACACACACACACACACACACACGCACACACACACAUUCAAACACACACACACACACCACACACACACAUGCCACAACAAACAGACACACACAUACAUUCAUCCACACACACGUCUCACAUUCCCUACCGCCACAACCUAGCACCUUCAUGCCCUCCUCCCCUCCACACUCAUACAUACAGCACCAGUCAAAAGUUUGGACACACCUACUCAUCCCAAGGUUUUUAUUUAUUUGUACUAUUUUCUGCAUUGUAGAAUAAUAGUGAAGACAUCAAAAUUAUGAAAUAACAUAUAUGGAAUCAUGUAGUAACCGAAAAAGUGUUAAACAAAUCAAAAUAUAUUUUAUAUUUGCGAUUCUUCAAAGUAGCCACCCUUUACCUUGAUGACAUCUUUGCACACUCUUGGCAUUCUCUCAACCAGCUUCAUGAGGUAGGCACCUGCAAUGCAUUUCAAUUACAUUUUUUUCCAACUGCUUACACACAAAAUCUUUUCAUGUCACAAAACUACACACCAAAUAUCCAAAUCCAUGAGCUAUUUCUCAGCCUUUGACUCAGUUGUCAAUUGCAUAAAACACUUUUUUCAAAACACUACACACAAUUCUCUACCUAAAACACAAAAAUCUAACAGGAAGUGACUUGCUUUCCUUUUCCAAACACAACCAAUCAAAAUGCUACACUUAUUCACCAGGUCACACACACUCCUCACAUGUGCAAACACUAAUAGCUUAACUGAUCACUAACCAAUCACUGCUUUACUGUAGUAUAGGCCUAUGAAUAGGUCAAAGGUCAGAUGACCUGUUUUGAACAUUGGAUGCCAACAAUGGACAGAGAGCAAGAGGAGUAGGAGGGAGAGGAAGAGGAAGAAGAGGACGAGGGCAAAGAAGAGAAGGAAGGAGAGCCAUCUCUGAUGAGAUUAGGGCAACACUUGUUGAUCAUGUGAUCAACCACGGUUUGACCAUGAGAGAGGCUGGACUGAGAGUCCAGCCCAACUUGAGUCGAUUUACAGUGGCGUCCAUAAUUCGAACCUUCAGAAAUGAGAACAGAGUGGAAAGGCAAAGACAUAUUGGAUGACGAGGACGGUUGUUUACAGAUGUACAAGAAACUGUCAUUAUAAAUAUGGUUUUGGCCAGCAAUGCAAUUAGGAUUCGGGAGAUAAGAGAGCAUAUCUUGAAUAAUGACACCAUAUUUAACAACAUCAAUGUUGUAAGCCUGUCGACCAUACAAGCCUGUCGACCAUACAACGCAUCCUCCAACCGAGUGACGAUGAAACAACUUUACAAGGUGCCAUUUGAGAGAAACUCUGACAGAGUCAAGAAUAUGCGACAUGACUUUGUAGAGAGAGUAUUGGAGCUGGAUGCCCAUGUAAUUCGCCAUGAUUUUAUGUGGAUGAGGUUGGCUUCAACCUCACCAAAACCAGGCGCCAUGGAAGAAAUGUAAUAGGACAGAGGGCAAUUACCAAUGUCCCUGGACAGCGUGGGGGUAAUAUGUGCUGCCAUCACUCAAAACGGGGUCCUCCAUCACAAUGCCACACUGGGUCCGUACAAAACCGGCCAUAUGCUCAGGAGCCUGCUAGAUUUGUGGUUUUAUGGGACAAUGUUAGUUUUCACCAGGCUGUUCUGGUUCAAAACUGGUUUGCCACCCAUCCACAAUUUGUAGUUUUGUACCUACCCCCAUAUUCACCUUUUCUGAAUCCCAUAGAGGAAUUCUUCUCAGCUUGGCGCUGGAAAGUGUAUGAUCGCCAACCCUAUGCCCGCAUGCCGCUUCUCCAGGCAAUGGAGGACUAAUGUGGGGACAUAGAGGUUGCCUCUCUCCAAGGUUGGAUACGUCAUGCUAGGAGAUACUUCCCUCCAUGUUUGGCAAGAGAAAACGUAUCUUGUGAUAUGGGCAAAGUAUUGUGGCCAGACCCAGGUCGGAGAAGAGAUGAAGCGUGGCUUAGCACUGGUGACUGCCCCCCCCCCGCCCCCCCCGGGACCCCACACACACAAUUGUGUUUUUACUGUAUUCUAAAGAAUAUACUUUUGGUUUACAUAUGUUUAUGGUUUUGUUGUAUGCUACU